This 164-nucleotide ribosomal RNA is filed under the name Dubautia latifolia. RNAcentral describes it as "5.8S ribosomal RNA". It matches the Rfam family "5.8S ribosomal RNA". Rfam says of the family: 5.8S ribosomal RNA (5.8S rRNA) is a component of the large subunit of the eukaryotic ribosome. It is transcribed by RNA polymerase I as part of the 45S precursor that also contains 18S and 28S rRNA. The record is from RNAcentral. Lineage: Eukaryota; Viridiplantae; Streptophyta; Magnoliopsida; Asterales; Asteraceae.
UAAACGACUCUCGGCAACGGAUAUCUCGGCUCAUGCAUCGAUGAAGAACGUAGCAAAAUGCGAUACUUGGUGUGAAUUGCAGAAUCCCGUGAACCAUCGAGUUUUUGAACGCAAGUUGCGCCCGAAGCCUUCUGGUUGAGGGCACGUCUGCCUGGGCGUCAUGC